Molecule: ribosomal RNA, 468 nt
Filed under: uncultured bacterium
Lineage: Bacteria
Description: partial 16S ribosomal RNA
Rfam family: Bacterial small subunit ribosomal RNA
Source: RNAcentral
GACGAACGCUGGCGGCGUGCUUAACACAUGCAAGUCGAACGGAAAGGCCCUGCUUUUGUGGGGUGCUCGAGUGGCGAACGGGUGAGUAACACGUGAGUAACCUGCCCUUGACUUUGGGAUAACUUCAGGAAACUGGGGCUAAUACCGGAUAGGAGCUCCUGCUGCAUGGUGGGGGUUGGAAAGUUUCGGCGGUUGGGGAUGGACCCGCGGGUUAUCAGCUUGUUGGUGGGGUAGUGGCUUACCAAGGCUUUGGCGGGUAGGCCGCCUGGGAGGGUGACCGGCCACAUUGGGACUGAGAUACGGCCCAGACUCCUACGGGAGGCAGCAGUGGGGAAUAUUGCACAAUGGGCGGAAGCCUGAUGCAGCAACGCCGCGUGCGGGAUGACGGCCUUCGGGUUGUAAACCGCUUUCGCCUGUGACGCAGCGUGAGUGACGGUAAUGGGUAAAGAAGCACCGGCUAACUACGUG